UAGUAGCGGCGAGCGAAACGGGAAGAGCCCAAACCAACAAGCUUGCUUGUUGGGGUUGUAGGACACUCUGUACGGAGUUACAAAGGACGACAUUAGACGAAUCAUCUGGAAAGAUGAAUCAAAGAAGGUAAUAAUCCUGUAGUCGAAAAUGUUGUCUCUCUUGAGUGGAUCCUGAGUACGACGGAGCACGUGAAAUUCCGUCGGAAUCUGGGAGGACCAUCUCCUAAGGCUAAAUACUCUCUAGUGACCGAUAGUGAACCAGUACCGUGAGGGAAAGGUGAAAAGCACCCCGGAAGGGGAGUGAAAUAGAACCUGAAACCGUGUGCUUACAAGUAGUCAGAGCCCGUUAAUGGGUGAUGGCGUGCCUUUUGUAGAAUGAACCGGCGAGUUACGAUUUGAUGCAAGGUUAAGCAGUAAAUGUGGAGCCGUAGCGAAAGCGAGUCUGAAUAGGGCGUUUAGUAUUUGG
RNAcentral lists this ribosomal RNA (466 nucleotides) under Staphylococcus aureus. Its description in RNAcentral is "partial 23S ribosomal RNA". It matches the Rfam family "Bacterial large subunit ribosomal RNA", at positions 241 to 706 of the family's 2925-position model. The record is from RNAcentral. Lineage: Bacteria; Bacillati; Bacillota; Bacilli; Caryophanales; Staphylococcaceae.